RNAcentral lists this ribosomal RNA (253 nucleotides) under uncultured bacterium. Its description in RNAcentral is "partial 16S ribosomal RNA". It matches the Rfam family "Bacterial small subunit ribosomal RNA", at positions 524 to 776 of the family's 1533-position model. The record is from RNAcentral.
UACGUAGGGUGCAAGCGUUAAUCGGAAUUACUGGGCGUAAAGCGUGCGUAGACGGUUAUGUAAGUCAGAUGUGAAAGCCCCGGGCUUAACCUGGGAAUGGCAUUUGAGACUGCAUAGCUAGGGUGCGGAAGAGGGAAGCGGAAUUUCCGGUGUAGCGGUGAAAUGCGCAGAUAUCGGGAGGAACACCAAUGGCGAAGGCAGCUCGCUGGGACGGUACUGACGCUGAGACGCGAAAGCGUGGGGAGCAAACAGG